Molecule: small RNA, 3324 nt
Filed under: Rattus norvegicus (Norway rat)
Lineage: Eukaryota; Metazoa; Chordata; Mammalia; Rodentia; Muridae
Description: uncharacterized LOC100910343
Source: RNAcentral
CUGCCCUUGGCCCUGUGAAUGAUUCCUCCCCCAUGCUUCUGCUUCCAUGCUGAAGUAGAUCACUGCAGUCCCAUGGUCGUCUCCAGUCUGCAGUAGAUCCGGGUCUUCUCUUCCCUCCCACACCUUUAGCACUUUAGAGGAAGUUCUGGCCUGGGGUCCCAUGGAAUUCCAUCCCAGAUGAGCAUGCUUGGCAGUUUCUCAGAUUGAGUUGCAGCGUCAUCGGGUUUGGGGCGAGCAAAGCAGGCGCGAGGCCUCCCCCUAUUUCACACCCAGAGCACGUGGAACGCUCAACUGACUUUCCGGUGGUCUCCGCCGCCACCUCUUAGUUCAAUGUUUCUGCUGGCAGGUCCCAGACUGUUCAAUGCCUCUCUCUGAACUGGGAAUGAAGAGUUGAGGACCACUGGAUGCUGUGAAGCACCUUUUAGAAGGCUAAGCCUCAGAAGAACAAGAUCGGAAAGCAAAACAGUGAGUUUUGUUCUACUGUAGGCUCUGGCCAUAAUGUAUCACUUUGGGCCUCAGGCAAUGGAAGGAGUGGAGUGUGGCCUGAAGCUUCCAAAAUUGUGAUCCCAACGUAACCUUCUCUGCCAAGAAGCUGCGCUUGGGCAUUUGUGAGUGAUGGUAGGCGAACUGACAUGCUUGUCUCCUGGGAGGAAGGCCCAUAAAGUGAUUCCCUAGGGCCAGAGACAUCCUAGCCUCAAACACUACUGAGAAAUGCUAAGACGCCUGAAGCCCACAGCAGACCUCCCAGAAAGGAAAGUUUGUGAAGCGCCAUUCAAACAUGAGCCCUACAGGUCCUCCUGCCACCCGCCUCUUUCCCACUUUCAUCUCAUCUGGGAAGGAUCAACUGCAGGAGGUGGAUGAGAAAGGAAGCAGCAAGGUCUGCUCAAGUCCAGCUCACCUGACAUACCCUGCUGUCCAACCCCACGUGUGCUGCUGUGGAUGCUGGGAGCAGCUGCAGCGUCACAGAGGAAAUCCCCUUUGACUUGGGAUCCAGUGAGACAUCACCUGAUUACAUAGGCUCCAUAAUACUCCCUCAGGACAGGAGAACCAGAGAUGAGAUGUCAGGAGGAGAUCCCCUGAGAAGCUGUCACUGGACCCUAUCAUCAGUGAGCACUGGCCGCAGCCAGGCGGCCCCCAACAGCCUCCGACACCACCAGACGAAGGGGCUGAAAGGAGGUGGGGGUGCAGAUUGUUCGCUUGUUUCCCACUCUAUGUUGUUGCCUCUCUAUCUCAGAGGAAAACAGCACAUUUCCCAGGGGUGAAAACAGGCCCAGCUCUGUGGUCGUCAAACCACCAGGGCUGGGGGGUGGCCUGGUAUGGGGAACCCCAAGAGUGACAGGAAGGAGCCAGGCCGGAAUUCCAGGAGCCUGUCUGCUCAAACACCUGUUGGCAUCCAGACAACCCUGGGAGCCAGGCACAAGCUCGCCUUCCUCUCCUCUAGCUGCUGGAUCUGAGCUAAUAGCACCUUCACUCUUUAGUUCAACAUGAAGCCAGUACUGUCCUCUGGGGGAUGUGAUCCACAUGGCUUCCACCUUAUGAAGCUUCAUCCCUCCAGUCUCUGUAAGAUAUUGGGAUGGAACGCCCACAGUGAGAGAACUGAGUGUCCCACUGGACUCAGGGGCUUCACCAGUUCGCCCCUCCCUCAUCCUCACCAACUUUAUCACUGACCAGCGCAGAGACUGUGCCUCCUUCCUGCAAGCACCAAAGGUGCUGGUCCCUAGCCCCAGGAUUCCAGAAACUGGCGGAAUUUUUCCUGUCCCGUGGAGGGAUAUCUUGACUUAUAUUUUGACUAUACGUUUGAGAUUUUUCUGCUACACUGAGGCAAGGUAAGUUGGUAUUCUCAGGCUUGGGACUCAACCACUGUUCUUUACAAAGCCAGUAGCUGUGGGACUACUUUGUUCCCAGCUUAGGGACCAGGCAUAGGAGGAUGUCUUGAGGACUGUGUGACUGCAAAUAUCAGCUACAUGGACCCCUGCUGGCUUCUCCAGAACACUGUGGAAGGGUUUGAGAAUAUGUCCCCAGCUGAUCCCUGCAAAGUCGAUGCAGAGCUGCAGCUGCGCCUACCCCUGGACAACAUGGCUGGGGGGAAGGGCAGUGUCUCUCUACUUCGUCCCAGGUCACUGCUGAUGUGAAGAUGAGGGACUUGGGAAUAUCCACUUGGACAAUCUCUCCUUGGCCUUAAAGGGCUGGUCUGCCCUGAAAGAGUCACAGCUCAGAGAGGCUGCUCUUGAGAUCACAAGUUCUAACGAAACAUAGAGAACUCCAUAGCUGUCACAUGCUUCUGCGUGGCUACCUGGAUGGCUUAGAAGACACUGUAAUUGAACCCCAAGGGCUCUCGUGUCUGUGACUGAAAAGACAAAUCAUGCAGAUGAUGCAUAAAGAGAUGAGAAAGAUUUAAUACCCUCAGCAGGUAAGGAAUCAAUUGAGCCGCUAUCCCCUCGGAGGGAAGCGUGGGCGUAUUUCACUCAGGGACCUUAAAUACAUUCCUGGAUGAGUAGCCAUUCAUAAGCAUGCUUGGCCAAGGAGCUUAUGGCCAUGCACAGUUUAAGGUAACGGAGCACACGUUUAGAUUUAAGUGAUGUCGAGAAAGAGUCUCCCACAAAAGUGCUCACCUUGCUUUGUGGCCAACAGCACCGCUGUGGGCACUUGGCGUUGUGGGCACAGGACUCUCAUGGAGUCCGAACCCCUGGUGAGCUUUGUCCACGUGACGCACUGAAGUCAGAAGCAGAAGGCUGCUUAGGCAUGUCAAGAAGAUGGCGGAAGGAUGUUUUGAAUUUCAGUUUGUGCCCGUCCCUUCUCCCCUCAGACUUGGUCUCCUCGUUUCUUCUGUGUUGUUCUGUCAGGGAUAAAGACAGUUCUGAAACCUCAUUUUUGAUGGCUGCUGUUAACCUAAACAACUCUCAUCCCCCAAGAAGAGGGCCUGACCUCAGGGAUGGUGCUGCUCAUGGCUCCUUCGUCUUCAGAGACGCAGCAGGGACGCUGCUACUGUGUGACAGUGCAUGGCUGUUUCCAUGUGCUGCUUCGCCUUUGUCUGCAAGGAUCUGUCUCCCCACUUGCAGAGCACAGAGGUGUCCAGGUGGCACUAACUGUCCCCACCCCUUCUCCAGGCUCCUUUCUGCUGUUCCAGGACAGCCUGCCCUGUGCUGGUAUAUGUUCUGUCAGGCUUCAAGCUCCUUCCCACCCUGGGCUGCCCACAAACACAGUGGAAAACACAGCUCAGCCUUGUAAGCCUUUUAAGAGCCAGACCCUCUCCAUUUGCUGAGUAAACUUGCCCAGGGUUAAAAUACCCCUUGCCCUAGGAAUAAAGACAACAUAAAGUGAAAA